AGUUUACCUGCUCCAAAUAACUUACAUAAAUAGUUUUACUAUCUUUAUUUCAGCGCAUAUUUUCUUAUCAUAACAUUUUUGUCACAAGUCCCCAAUUCACAAUACAAGCAAUUUCACAAAAUGUUAUCGCUUCAUAAUUUCACGAUUACCUUCACUGUGAUAUUGUUGACCUAAAAAUGUGUAUUACAAAAGUGGGGUCGUAGAAGUAACGGUGGGUUUGAGGUCUAUUUAGAAAAUCAAACAAUCACUGUUUGGGUAGGUAUUCUUUGAAAUCCAAUUGUUGGGUCGGUAAUGGCCUAAUGGGCAUUCAAGAAGUUUUAACAGCGGAAUUAUAUUACAAUCUAUUGAAAGAAGUGAUAGCCCCACAGAUCACACUCUUUGGAGAGUGGAAAACAAUGAAGACAUGCUACUAGACGUAUAAAAUUUGCAGUUUCAGCAAGAUGGGGCUCCGCCACAUUAUAAUCUCCUGUCAAAUGGAUUGGAAGAGGAGGUCUCCUACCCUGCACCGGAAUUCUGAUUGUUAUCAGAAUUAUAUUUGUUUUCUUUUGUAUCGUAUGCAUGUAUUCAGUUGUAAGUAGCUAAUAAAAGUCAUUAUUAUUA
Molecule: long non-coding RNA, 600 nt
Organism: Photinus pyralis (common eastern firefly)
Lineage: Eukaryota; Metazoa; Arthropoda; Insecta; Coleoptera; Lampyridae
Exons: 2
Source: RefSeq, a predicted model, not a curated record